UGGACUACCGUUACUCUGUGAUACACUCUCGACGAGUCGAGUUGUUUGGGAAUGCAGCUCCAAAUGGGUGGUAAAUGCCAUCUAAAGCUAAAUAUUGGCGAGAGACCGAUAGCGAACAAGUACCGUGAGGGAAAGAUGAAAAGCACUUUGGAAAGAGAGUGAAACAGUACGUGAAAUUGUUGAAAGGGAAACGCUUGAAGUCAGUCGCGCCGUUCGGGAUUCAGCCUUGCUUCUGCUCGGUUUACUUCCCGUUGGGUGGGUCAACAUCAGUUUUGGUCGGAGGAGAAAGGCUUGGGGAAGGUGGCAGCAUUCGUGCUGUGUUAUAGCCCCUUGUUGUAUACUUCGACUGGGACUGAGGACCGCAGCACGCCUUUGGCCGGGGUUCGCCCACGUACGUGCUUAGGAUGUUGGCAUAAUGGCUUUAAGCGACCCGUCUUGAAACACGGACCAAGGAGUCUAACAUGUGCGCGAGUGUUUGAGUGUUAAACUCAGACGCGAAAUGAAAGUGAAAAGUUGGGAACACUCAUGUGUGCACCGACGCCCGGAGCUGACCUUCUGUGACGCAUCUGCGGUAGAGCGUAUAUGUUGGGACCCGAAAGAUGGUGAACUAUGCCUGAAUAGGGUGAAGCCAGAGGAAACUCUGGUGGAGGCUCGUAGCGAUUCUGACGUGCAAAUCGAUCGUCAAAUUUGGGUAUAGGGGCGAAAGACUAAUCGAACCAUCUAGUAGCUGGUUCCUGCC
This 739-nucleotide ribosomal RNA is filed under the name uncultured Sebacina. Its description in RNAcentral is "partial 28S ribosomal RNA". It matches the Rfam family "Eukaryotic large subunit ribosomal RNA", at positions 229 to 962 of the family's 3401-position model. The record is from RNAcentral. Lineage: Eukaryota; Fungi; Basidiomycota; Agaricomycetes; Sebacinales; Sebacinaceae.